AUGUUCAUAGGCGCACUAAAUUUAACUUUAGAAUUAUUUUCUUGGUAUGUGCGUAUACGUAUUAUAAUGAUCAAACUCGCUAACAAUAAUAACUUAUUAGAUCUAAGCUAUCGGUUCAAAAUGCUUAAAUUCAGGCCUCAUAUAUUCAAUAUGGGACUAUUGGAGCAUUACAUAUUCUCCCUAUUUAGACCCUAACGUACUCGUCAGGUCCAAACCCAAAUCAUAGACAUACGGACCAGGUGGCGAUGUGAGAUUUUAGAGGCGACUUCUACAAGUUUAAGAGUGGCGAUGCUCAAUUCUAGAUGUGGCUCCUACAGGUUCAAGAGGUGGUUCCGACCAAAUUUAUUGGUGUAGAACUUUGCCCCGCAUGAUGUAAAAUUCUAGAAGUAGCACCUACAUGUUCAAAAGGUCGUUCUCACCAAAUCCUCUGUUGGUGUAGCACUUUGCCUCACAUAAUGUGAAAUUUCAGAAGUAGCUUUUACAAGUUCAAAAGAUGACUCUCACCAAAUCUGUUAGUGUAGCACUUUACCCCACAUAACACUUAGUUUUCACACUUUCGGCUGGUAUUUGACUCUGAUAUCAAUUAUAAUGAUCAGGGACCUACUACCAAUAAUAACUCGUUGGAUUCAAACCAUCGGCCCAAAAUAUUUAAGUUCAAUUAUUACUAGCAUGUGAGGUCUCAUACAUUCUAAUCAGAAUUAUUUUUUCAUUCGAUAUAGAACUAUUAGGGCACUACACAUGCACAACAGUGAAUCAUGAUAUACUCAUUUUCU
Molecule: long non-coding RNA, 773 nt
Filed under: Ananas comosus (pineapple)
Lineage: Eukaryota; Viridiplantae; Streptophyta; Magnoliopsida; Poales; Bromeliaceae
Description: long non-coding RNA (ACOM_LNC004814)
Source: RNAcentral